AGUCUACUCACCAAGGCUGCACUAAAUGUCCAACCUGUCAGCAGCAUUGACUAAUGCUAAUCCCUUUGUACAGGAUCAUCUCUCAAGGACACCAACAAUCUACUUGGUGGGAUAAGUUUCCUCCAUUGGACCCCUUCUGUAUUGGAAGAAACAAAGAAUGCAUUUUGACUUGACAACACAUAUUCCGGCCCUGAGCUAACAUCUGCUGCCAAUCCUCCUCUUUUUGCUGAGGAAGACUGGCCCUGAGCUAACAUCCAUGCCCAUCUUCCUCUACUUUAUAUGUGGGACGCCUACCACAGCAUGUCAUGCCAAGCAGUGCCAUGUCCACACCCAGGAUCCGAACUGCCGAACUCCAGGCCGCUGAAGCAGAGGUGGAGGUUGAGAAAAGCUCCCAGAAGGAAGGACCAUUGAAUUUGGCCUCAGAGGAUCAAUUAAGCAGAGAGAAGGGAAAAAACCCUGAAGACUGAGAUUGGUAAUUCAACUAAGACGCUGAGUCGGGAAAAAAGAAGACAUAUUUAGGGUGCAAAAUUGUUUAUUAUGCGUAAAAUUCCUGGUGACUCAGAGAGCAUAAAGACAGACAUUAGAGUAGAAAGGGUGUUGAGAUGAGUUGUUGAAGGGUGUUGAGGAGCAGACAGAGGAAUGUAAACUGCAUUCUAGAAUCAAGGUUCUAAGAAAUACCACGAUCAGCUUUGGGUUUGGCAAAGACGAUUCUAAUGGCAGUGUCUACAGAGCAAUUAGAAGGAAGAUAGAUCAGAAGCAGAGAAGUCAGAAGUCAGUUGCAAUUGUCUGAGAAAAAAGAAACAAGGUAAAGUGGCAAUGGGAGUAGAAGAGAGUGGAUGAUUGAAGAGACUUUGUAAAAGUGUGACCAAUAGAUUUAGUGACAGAUGUCAUAGGAGUGAGGGUGAGGCAGAGUUGAAGAGAAUCCCAAGGGUUCUUGCCCCACGCGGAUUGGGUGGACCAAGAUCAGACACCCUUACACCAUUGUGACUUUGUAAGCCCUUCCUUCGGACUGAACUUCUAUUCCCCAUUUACCUCCCGUAGGCCCUCCAGCCCUCUUUCAAAGCUUGAGUCAUAGUCCACUUCCUGCAGAGGAGCUUCUCAGAUUCCCCGCCCUAUACUCCACCCACCCUCAG
Molecule: long non-coding RNA, 1133 nt
Filed under: Equus caballus (horse)
Lineage: Eukaryota; Metazoa; Chordata; Mammalia; Perissodactyla; Equidae
Description: lncRNA (ENSECAG00000041788.2)
Source: RNAcentral